GAUGAACGCUAGCGGGAGGCCUAACACAUGCAAGCCGAGCGGUAUUGUUUCUUCGGAAAUGAGAGAGCGGCGUACGGGUGCGUAACACGUGUGCAACCUGCCUUUAUCUGGGGGAUAGCCUUUCGAAAGGAAGAUUAAUACUCCAUAAUAUAUUGAACGGCAUCGUUUAAUAUUGAAAGCUCCGGCGGAUAGAGAUGGGCACGCGCAAGAUUAGCUAGUUGGUGAGGUAACGGCUCACCAAGGCGAUGAUCUUUAGGGGGCCUGAGAGGGUGAUCCCCCACACUGGUACUGAGUCACGGACCAGACUCCUACGGGAGGCAGCAGUGAGGAAUAUUGGUCAAUGGGUGCAAGCCUGAACCAGCCAUCCCGCGUGAAGGACGACUGCCCUAUGGGUUGUAAACUUCUUUUGUAUAGGGAUAAACCUACCCUCGUGAGGGUAGCUGAAGGUACUAUACGAAUAAGCACCGGCUAACUCCGUG
RNAcentral lists this ribosomal RNA (479 nucleotides) under uncultured bacterium. RNAcentral describes it as "partial 16S ribosomal RNA". It matches the Rfam family "Bacterial small subunit ribosomal RNA", at positions 28 to 507 of the family's 1533-position model. The record is from RNAcentral.